CCUACGGGAGGCAGCAGUGAGGAAUAUUGGUCAAUGGGCGCAAGCCUGAACCAGCCAAGUAGCGUGAAGGAUGACGGCCCUACGGGUUGUAAACUUCUUUUAUAAGGGAAUAAAGUGAGGCACGUGUGCCUUCUUGCAUGUACCUUAUGAAUAAGGAACGGCUAACUCCGUGCCAGCAGCCGCGGUAAUACGGAGGGUCCGAGCGUUAUCCGGAUUUAUUGGGUUUAAAGGGAGCGUAGGUGGGUUGUUAAGUCUGUUGUGAAAGUCCGCGGCUCAACCGUAGAAUUGCAGUUGAAACUGGCAGGCUUGAGUGCAGAUGAGGUAGGCGGAAUUCGUGGUGUAGCGGUGAAAUGCUUAGAUAUCACGAAGAACUCCGAUUGCGAAGGCAGCUUACUGAACUGUCACUGACGCUGAUGCUCGAAAGUGUGGGUAUCAAACAGGAUUAGAUACCCGUGUAGUC
This 460-nucleotide ribosomal RNA is filed under the name uncultured bacterium. RNAcentral describes it as "partial 16S ribosomal RNA". It matches the Rfam family "Bacterial small subunit ribosomal RNA", at positions 338 to 795 of the family's 1533-position model. The record is from RNAcentral.